GGAGGGGGCAAGCGUUAUUCGGAAUUAUUGGGCGUAAAGGGCAGGUAGGCGGCUUUGUGUGUCUUUUGUGAAAGCCCUCGGCUCAACCGAGGAAUUGCAGGAGAAACUACGAAGCUUGAGUCCGGGAGAGGCUAGUGGAAUUCCCAGUGUAGCGGUGAAAUGCGUAGAUAUUGGGAGGAACACCAGUGGCGAAGGCGGCUAGCUGGACCGGUACUGACGCUGAGCUGCGAAAGCUAGGGGAGCAAACGGGAUUAGAUACCCCGGUAGUCCUGGCUGUAAACGUUGAGCACUUGGUGUGGCGGGUAUCGACCCCCCUGCCGUGCCGAAGCUAACGCAUUAAGUGCUCCGCCUGGGGGAGUACGGUCGCAAGGCUG
RNAcentral lists this ribosomal RNA (374 nucleotides) under uncultured organism. Its description in RNAcentral is "partial 16S ribosomal RNA". It matches the Rfam family "Bacterial small subunit ribosomal RNA", at positions 527 to 896 of the family's 1533-position model. The record is from RNAcentral.